UCAUGUAUACGUAAUGUAUCUAGCUUGUAUGAACUUGCCAAUAAGUUUAUAAUGCUCCAAAUAUCGUCUUUCUGUCAGACAUUUUACUGUAUAAGAUCACAGAGUCGUGAGUUUACAAAAGUAAAAUAAAAUUCAGAGUUGUGAACCUACGUUAAAGACAGGUUCAUUUGUGGAUUGCAAGUUCUUCACAGCCAAAACUCCAAAAGCAUGGUAUUGUUUAUUUCUUUCUUCUGCACACCAAAAAUGUUGUUUCAUUUACAAUAUACCAUUGUCAUAGUAGUGACUCUGUUUUGGCCUUCAUUCCGUUAUAUAUACCAGCUCUGAGCAUCAAAUUCAAUAGGUCAUGCUAUAAAUAAAAGUUACAGAUAAUACAUAAAAUUUGGUUUACCGGGCUGCAAUUUCAAAAUUCGUUUUUAUGAAAUAGGUGCAGUCCGGGUAUUUUGAAUUGUGGAGAUAUUUUCCUUUUUCAACUAAAUUGACUGCUAACCAAUUCAAUGCAUGCCUACAUAUUUGACCAAUCUUGCCUUUAUUUAAAUCUGGAAAACUGUUUCCAAAAUUUCGGAGUCCACGAGAUUAGAACUCAAGAAAAGAGAAUCACGUGAAAGAGGGUAUCAAGGGGAUAUACCAGGAAUCUCAUAAAUUGUACUUCCCGCAUUAUGAGAUGGUAUUAGCUCCGUCCAAAAUUACUUUUUUUUCUAUUUUUUAAAUUCAAAUUGACCAAUUUUAAAUAUUAAAAAAAUAUUAAUAUAUUAUUUUAAAAAAUAGACUAGAUGUAUUCUCUAAAUGAUUAUUUUUUUGGUUCUUCAAAUAUAUAAUACAUAUAAAUCACAGUUCAAAUAUAAUCAAUAUUAUUGGUCCAAAGUCACAAGGGACAAGUGUUUUGAGAUGAGGGAGUAUAUUUUUAUUUUUUAUAAUGUGUUUGUGUAUGUAAUUAUUUUCAAAAACUCAUGCAAAAUAAUGUAUAUAGCAUAUUAUGACAAAAUUUCUUUAGUAAAAAGAUAUAAGGGACAUGUUAUAAAUAGAAAAUUUUUAUUAUAUUGCACUCCUUCCGUCCCAACUCCUUUGUCUUGUUUAACUUUUUGUCGUCAAAUUAACUCAAUUUUGAUUGAAAUUUACGUAUAUUAAAUAAUAAAAAUGUGUAAAAAGUAUAUUACUAAAAUCUGCAUUCAUUCUAUUUUAGGACGUAUUUUUCAAUUUUUUGAGAUCAUGUCGGAAUAAUUACUCAUUGCCGGUCAAAGUCUGAUCAGUUUGACAACAAAACGUCAAAUAAGAUAAAAGAAGUGGGAUGGAAUGAGUAAGGGUUGGAUAAUUUAAUGUUAAGAUUUUAAAAAAAUGAUGCUAGACCGUGUUGCGUUUUUAUGUGAAAAACCGUACAAAAUGUAAGACGAUUGAGUAAAACACUAUAUGACAUUUUGGUGGGGAUGAGCGUAGUUCAGUUUGGUUCGGUUUUGACCGAAAACCAAACCGUAACCAUAUUUAUUCGGUUUCUAAAAUCAAAAACCAAAACCAAACCAAACACCGUUGGUUCGGUUUCGGUUUUUGAUUUUGGUUUCGGUUUAUAAUGGUGCGGUUUCGGUUUUAAAACCAAAUUAAAUUAAAUUACAUAUCCCCAUAAAUUUUUAAUCAUAAAUAUGCUUGAACUAAAGUUUUCAAUUUAAAAUGUAUGAUACUACUGCAGCUUCAGCAAUAGCAAAUUACCUGUUACCAGGCUCUUCAACAACAUACUUGGCCUGUUACCCGGCUCUUCAACAACAUACUUGGAUGGUCUCUCAACACUAGUAACAGUAGCAGAGCCCACUUGUAUGAACCAUUGAACCUAUUCUGACUAAAUAGCAAUUUUACACAGAAAAAUUGAUAAAAAGGUAAAACAAAAGAAAUCAAUAACAUGUUUGCAGAGAAAUGAUUUGGCUUGGGUACAAAUAUCAUCCACACUUAUAAGAAUUCACAGAUGCACCAAGAAUUUGCUUUUUCAUGCUCUUUCAUGGCUUUGCUUGCAUUAAGGACAUUCUGCAAUGUUUUAGGAGCAACACCAGAACUAAACCAAGUUUAAAUACAACAGAUUUUAAAUGAUAUAUAUAAUAUAUUUAUAUAAAUUUAUAUAAUUAAUUUAAUUUGGUUCGGUUCGGUUUGUAUUCUGUUUCCAAAAAAUUAAAACCAAACCGCAACCAUAUUAUUCGGUUCGGUUUUUAUUCGGUUUGGUCUUUAAUUGGUUCGGNCUUGUAGUUUGCUAUUUUGUUUAAAAAUAAUUAUCUGAUAUAAUGUUGGACCUUCUCUUGUAAAUCUUAGUAACUGGACCUCUGCUAUUAUCUUGCAGCUUUAAGAACAAUAGGCUUAACGGACCUGAGCUAAAAGGGCUAGUACCCUAUGACUUUGGAUGCUAAAACUUGUGCCAAGGUUUAAAUGUCUGCUUGGAUUGCCACAAUGUAAUAAUAGUUAUCAUGUAUACGUAAUGUAUCUAGCUUGUAUGAACUUGCCAAUAAGUUUAUAAUGCUCCAAAUAUCGUCUUUCUGUCAGACAUUUUACUGUAUAAGAUCACAGAGUCGUGAGUUUACAAAAGUAAAAUAAAAUUCAGAGUUGUGAACCUACGUUAAAGACAGGUUCAUUUGUGGAUUGCAAGUUCUUCACAGCCAAAACUCCAAAAGCAUGGUAUUGUUUAUUUCUUUCUUCUGCACACCAAAAAUGUUGUUUCAUUUACAAUAUACCAUUGUCAUAGUAGUGACUCUGUUUUGGCCUUCAUUCCGUUAUAUAUACCAGCUCUGAG
This 2761-nucleotide long non-coding RNA is filed under the name Daucus carota (carrot). RNAcentral describes it as "long non-coding RNA (DCAR_LNC004293)". The record is from RNAcentral. Lineage: Eukaryota; Viridiplantae; Streptophyta; Magnoliopsida; Apiales; Apiaceae.